This 1356-nucleotide ribosomal RNA is filed under the name Triticum aestivum (bread wheat). RNAcentral describes it as "partial small subunit ribosomal RNA". Lineage: Eukaryota; Viridiplantae; Streptophyta; Magnoliopsida; Poales; Poaceae. The record is from RNAcentral.
AUGCGAAGUCUGUUGGACAGAUGGCCGGAUGGGUUUCUCGCACGUAUAGCUUCCUCUAUCGCUGGAGAUUGGGUCGAUGGCCCCGAUCUAGCUUCGCAAGUCUCAUCCGAUUCAGCCCGCGUCCCUAGACAGACUUGCCGCCAGGUAGCGACGGUGAAGGGCGGAGGGCGUGCUGCACUUUCCGGAGAAAUCUCCGCCGAAACCAAGCAAACAGAACUCAGAUCGCGAGCAGGGGAUAGGCACCCGCGUGACUUUGGACGACACCUGCAAAAGUUGCAUCGUCUCCGACCACAUCAGAUCGGCCUCUCUGGCAGCUUAUUCAUGGGAAAGCGCGCCCAUCAGCCUCUUCAGCAGCAGCAAAGGCAAGGGCAAGGGCACCCCCGGCGCCUCGUCAUCCCGUGCUCCCCUCCCCCUACACCGCCGACGCGUUUUCGCCCUGAACGCCGGCGCCUGCACAUCCCGGUGCACCAAGCGCGGUGGCACUGGGAGUACAGACAACCCCUCCCCUAUCCCGACGUGACGCUGCCGCACCAUUGGCAUUUGGAUCCAAACCGGAUCCCGGUGCCGGCGGUUCCACAGACCCAGUCGGCGCACGACGACGAGUACGCCGCCGACUCUCCCAACUGGAAGGCUUGGUUCGCCCUCGAACACGAGGAGCAACGGCGCUCGGGUGUCGACGUCGUCCCGCCGCCGUUCCCACCGCCGCCCCCGGAGGUAGAGCCGGAGGACAUGGAGGCGGAGGCGGAGUACCAAGCCGUCCUCGAGGAGGCCCUGCAGCACGUACUGGAGGCUAGCCGCAUCGACGAGGACGCGCACUGGGAUGGGCUGGAGAAAGCCCUUGCCCUGUCGGCGGCGGGGGACUCCAUCCACAGCCCGCUCUUCGUGCCGCCGCCUCCACCGUCGCUGCCCGUCCAGCCCAAGCCAGAGCCGGAGCCGUCGCGUAAGCGCUCCCCGCCUCCACCCACUUGGCCGGAGGAGGCCUACUCGUGGACGGGCCAGUACCGCGAGUGGGUGAGCGCGCCUCCCGCCCACUUCUCCGCCACGACGGAGGAGGAGGCGGCCCACUUGGAACGAUGGAAGGAGCACUGGCUCCGCCAGGAGCAGGCCGACGGCGAGGAGGAGAUGCGCUACGAGGCCAUGCUCCAACGCGACGCGGAGGCGCUCCGGCUCGAGGGGGAGGAGGAAGAGCGCGCGCGGCUUGCCGCAAUGCCGCCGCCCCAGCAGACGACGGAGGAGGCUGCCCUGGCAGCGUACCAGGCGGCGUUCGGGUGGGCUGGGCCUGCUCCGGUCUUCAUCGACCUCACCGACGACGGCGGUGUCGAGGGCAAGGGCAAGGGCAAGGCCGACAACGUCUAG